This 73-nucleotide transfer RNA is filed under the name Saprospiraceae bacterium. Its description in RNAcentral is "tRNA-Gly". It matches the Rfam family "tRNA". From Rfam's summary of the family: Transfer RNA (tRNA) molecules are approximately 80 nucleotides in length. Their secondary structure includes four short double-helical elements and three loops (D, anti-codon, and T loops). Further hydrogen bonds mediate the characteristic L-shaped molecular structure. tRNAs have two regions of fundamental functional importance: the anti-codon, which is responsible for specific mRNA codon recognition, and the 3' end, to which the tRNAs corresponding amino acid is attached (by aminoacyl-tRNA synthetases). tRNAs cope with the degeneracy of the genetic code in two manners: having more than one tRNA (with a specific anti-codon) for a particular amino acid; and 'wobble' base-pairing, i.e. permitting non-standard base-pairing at the 3rd anti-codon position. Lineage: Bacteria; Pseudomonadati; Bacteroidota; Saprospiria; Saprospirales; Saprospiraceae. RNAcentral also lists the same sequence under 1 other name. The record is from RNAcentral.
GCAGGCGUAGCUCAGUUGGUAGAGCAUCAGCCUUCCAAGCUGAGGGUCGCGGGUUCGAGUCUCGUCGCCUGCU